CAGCAGCCGCGGGAAUACGUAGGGGGCAAGCGUUGUCCGGAAUUAUUGGGCGUAAAGCGCGCGCAGGCGGUCGUGUAAGUCUGGUGUUUAAUCCCGGGGCUCAACCCCGGAUCGCACUGGAAACUGGGUGACUUGAGUGCAGAAGAGGAGAGUGGAAUUCCACGUGUAGCGGUGAAAUGCGUAGAGAUGUGGAGGAACACCAGUGGCGAAGGCGACUCUCAGGGCUGUAACUGACGCUGAGGCGCGAAAGCGUGGGGAGCAAACAGGAUUAGAUACCCCAGUAGUCCCUGUCUCUUAUACA
This 301-nucleotide ribosomal RNA is filed under the name uncultured bacterium. RNAcentral's name for it is "partial 16S ribosomal RNA". It matches the Rfam family "Bacterial small subunit ribosomal RNA", at positions 509 to 808 of the family's 1533-position model. The record is from RNAcentral.